RNAcentral lists this transfer RNA (84 nucleotides) under Caudoviricetes sp. RNAcentral describes it as "tRNA-Leu". It matches the Rfam family "tRNA". Rfam says of the family: Transfer RNA (tRNA) molecules are approximately 80 nucleotides in length. Their secondary structure includes four short double-helical elements and three loops (D, anti-codon, and T loops). Lineage: Duplodnaviria; Heunggongvirae; Uroviricota; Caudoviricetes. The record is from RNAcentral.
GCGGAUAUGCUGGAAUCGGUUUACAGGCAACGUUGAGGUCGUUGUGUUCGAAAGAACAUAAGAGUUCAAGUCUCUUUAUCCGCA